Molecule: ribosomal RNA, 450 nt
Filed under: uncultured bacterium
Lineage: Bacteria
Description: partial 16S ribosomal RNA
Rfam family: Bacterial small subunit ribosomal RNA
Source: RNAcentral
UCGCCAGACUCCUACGGGAGGCAGCAGUGGGGGAUAUUGCACAAUGGGGGGAACCCUGAUGCAGCGACGCCGCGUGGGUGAAGAAGCGCCUCGGCGCGUAAAGCCCUGUCAGCAGGGAAGAAAAUGACGGUACCUGAAGAAGAAGCCCCGGCUAACUACGUGCCAGCAGCCGCGGUAAUACGUAGGGGGCAAGCGUUAUCCGGAUUUACUGGGUGUAAAGGGGGCGCAGACGGCGAUGCAAGCCAGGAGUGAAAGCCCGGGGCCCAACCCCGGGACUGCUCUUGGAACUGCGUGGCUGGAGUGCAGGAGGGGCAGGCGGAAUUCCUGGUGUAGCGGUGAAAUGCGUAGAUAUCACACAGAACACCGAUUGCGAAGGCAUCUGACGAAUCGGAGAUUGACGCUGAUGCACGAAAGCGUGGGUAUCGAACAGGAUUAGAUACCCGAGUAGCC